CCCGCGGCGCAUUAGCUAGUUGGUGAGGUAACGGCUCACCAAGGCAACGAUGCGUAGCCGACCUGAGAGGGUGAUCGGCCACACUGGGACUGAGACACGGCCCAGACUCCUACGGGAGGCAGCAGUAGGGAAUCUUCCGCAAUGGACGAAAGUCUGACGGAGCAACGCCGCGUGAGUGAUGAAGGUUUUCGGAUCGUAAAGCUCUGUUGUUAGGGAAGAACAAGUGCCGUUCAAAUAGGGCGGCACCUUGACGGUACCUAACCAGAAAGCCACGGCUAACUACGUGCCAGCAGCCGCGGUAAUACGUAGGUGGCAAGCGUUGUCCGGAAUUAUUGGGCGUAAAGGGCUCGCAGGCGGUUUCUUAAGUCUGAUGUGAAAGCCCCCGGCUCAACCGGGGAGGGUCAUUGGAAACUGGGGAACUUGAGUGCAGAAGAGGAGAGUGGAAUUCCACGUGUAGCGGUGAAAUGCGUAGAGAUGUGGAGGAACACCAGUGGCGAAGGCGACUCUCUGGUCUGUAACUGACGCUGAGGAGCGAAAGCGUGGGGAGCGAACAGGAUUAGAUACCCUGGUAGUCCACGCCGUAAACGAUGAGUGCUAAGUGUUAGGGGGUUUCCGCCCCUUAGUGCUGCAGCUAACGCAUUAAGCACUCCGCCUGGGGAGUACGGUCGCAAGACUGAAACUCAAAGGAAUUGACGGGGGCCCGCACAAGCGGUGGAGCAUGUGGUUUAAUUCGAAGCAACGCGAAGAACCUUACCAGGUCUUGACAUCCUCUGACAAUCCUAGAGAUAGGACGUCCCCUUCGGGGGCAGAGUGACAGGUGGUGCAUGGUUGUCGUCAGCUCGUGUCGUGAGAUGUUGGGUUAAGUCCCGCAACGAGCGCAACCCUUGAUCUUAGUUGCCAGCAUUCAGUUGGGCACUCUAAGGUGACUGCCGGUGACAAACCGGAGGAAGGUGGGGAUGACGUCAAAUCAUCAUGCCCCUUAUGACCUGGGCUACACACGUGCUACAAUGGACAGAACAAAGGGCAGCGAAACCGCGAGGUUAAGCCAAUCCCACAAAUCUGUUCUCAGUUCGGAUCGCAGUCUGCAACUCGACUGC
RNAcentral lists this ribosomal RNA (1097 nucleotides) under Bacillus sp. (in: firmicutes). RNAcentral describes it as "bacterial SSU rRNA". It matches the Rfam family "Bacterial small subunit ribosomal RNA", at positions 230 to 1319 of the family's 1533-position model. The record is from RNAcentral. Lineage: Bacteria; Bacillati; Bacillota; Bacilli; Caryophanales; Bacillaceae.